CCUUUAUCAGAACCAGAAGUAGAAGCUAGGAUCUGAUGCGAGCCUGUGAAUUUUCUUCUCAAAUGAAGGAUCUUCUGCAACAACAAAGGCUUACAAGAAGAUGAAGGAAGAAGGGAAAAAAAUCCAGAUGAAGAAGAAAUUGGAAUUGCAGGCUGAUGGCGAUGAAGAAGAAGGUUGUUUCGAGAUAGAGACGUAUUUUUCAUUUGAUAUUUUUUUAGGUAUUAUAUAAUCUUUUUCCGUAGAAACAAAUAACUAAUCUUAAAAAAAGUAUAAAAAUAGGAGUAUUAAUUGUGCCGGGGUUUUAUGUUCAGAUCUUUUGGUUUUGAAUGAUUUUAUUGUUUGUGUUUGUACAUGAGAAUGACAGUGCAGAAAUUUCAGUGCUUCUUCCAUAUUAGUGCUUGA
This is a long non-coding RNA of Neltuma alba, 402 nucleotides long. RefSeq lists it as uncharacterized. The transcript is spliced from 3 exons. The record is from RefSeq and is a predicted model, not a curated record. NCBI's taxonomy places the organism in Eukaryota, Viridiplantae, Streptophyta, Magnoliopsida, Fabales, Fabaceae.